This 3195-nucleotide long non-coding RNA is filed under the name Zostera marina. Its description in RNAcentral is "long non-coding RNA (ZMAR_LNC002933)". Lineage: Eukaryota; Viridiplantae; Streptophyta; Magnoliopsida; Alismatales; Zosteraceae. The record is from RNAcentral.
AAAGCGCCACCGGUACCUUGAACUUCGCUGGGCUCCAGCUUGACCGUCGAUAAUUGCUUGAAGGUGGCGGGGGUAACGACGGUUCGUUUUUCCUCGAAUGGUUGUAGGAAAUCCUGUGUUUUCUUCCGAUGAAUCUCUGUUUUUUUUUAUUUUGAAGAAAUCACAGAAUUAUAAUUAAAAAUGGACAGAAAAAAGAGCAUAAAUUCGAAGAACAUGUAGGGUCCUAUACACAUUCCCCGAAGAAAUUAGUAACAGUAUAUAUGUCUCUAUUAUCCUAAUCUAAUCUAUCCAUCCGUAAAAAAAGAACUGACGUAAAUUAUUAGGUGGUAGGAGGAGGGAGGGAGGAUAGUCAGGAUACCUUGUGGAGAUAGCGUCGGAUCAAUUUGCGUGAAUCCGGAGGUCUCCUUGUAAAGCGAGAGAAAAUCGUGCGUCGUCGCUUUCUUACUAUCUGUUUUUUUUUUGUAACUGAUUUUCAAAUCGAAGAAGAAAAAGCGAUCGGAGGACAAAAGGGGGAAGACAAAGAAGACGCGGGAAGAUAUAUAAGAUGUGAGAAUUAAGAAUCAAACCUUGGAUUUCCAUCGACUCUCUUCUCACCUCGUCGUCGUCACUUCGUCGGAAACAGCAACUUCGUCGAAACGAAUUUCACGAAUCGGAUGGAUGGUCUCUAGCUAUGAAUUGGGACACGGAAAGUACAUCCCCACAAAAUGCAGUAGCAUCCGAUCCACUGACAGACAAGCAGAGAUCUGAAUCGGAGAAUUCAAGAUUCCGAUCGAUCUACUCUCCACCGCCACCGAGAUUGAGGAAGAAUAGAGGGAAGAAAGAAGAAAGAAGAAAGAAGAAAGAAAAAAGAAAAAAGGUUGGAGACGUUCGGAAGUCGGAGCGAAGAUAUGAGUCUUUUUUUUAUAUACCAGUAGUCAGAGUCCAGUCACCAUCUACCCCUCCUGCUUUUACAAUUUAUAUUUUAUUUCGAAAUUGUGGCACGAUCUGGACCGUUGGUGGCGAAUUUGGAGUCACGUGCUUGGCGGCAGACUGGUAGGAAGUGGUGACCGGCGGGAGACGGGAAUCACAUGAGCGAGAAUUACGGCAGAACCCGAGAAGAUUCCACCACACUUAAACACUUUUCUUUUAUUAAUUUAAUUCCAUUUAAUUUUUAUACUUUAUUUCAGCUGUUCAUGAUGUCGGGUGAGAAAGACAUGGCCCGCAUUACUUUGCUGCAGCUGUCAGAGUCUUCAGAGUAAGCGAAAUCUUAUCUGUUAAGAACCACGGAUGUCACGUGCAAUUUCACACGUGGGCUUUCUUCCUGACAUCUCUUACUCGUUACUGACAACUUACUGUUCGUAUCCUUACUGCAUUUAAUUAAGCCUACUUUCGGGUAAAAUAUGCAAUUUACCCUCAACUUUCAUUUAAAAUUUAAAAGUUCGUUAACACUCAAAAUAAAACGGAUUAAACUGAAUUUUAUUUUAAAAUUUAUUUCGUCAUUUUUUCUCAAAAAAAAAUGAUCUUGGAUUUAUAAUAUAGAUAUUUCAUUUUAAGACUUUGAAUAUAUUUGAUUUUAUUUGUCUAAAAAAAAAUGAAAUUUUGAGAAUGAGAGAACUCGUAUUAAAAAUAAUAUGAUUCUUUUCAUUAAUUAAUGUAUAAUUUUUAAUUUUUUAUCAUAGAUAUAUUUAUAAAAAAAAUUAUAUAUAUAAUUGUCUUCUUUCAUUUUAGUAGAUUGGAUCGUGUUGUUUUCGUAUCAUUUUUUUUUUUUUUGGACAAGGUUCAAAUCCUAUCCCUAAAUUUAAAAUCAGGAUAUGGACGAUUGUAUUUAAAAAAAAUCUAGAUAGCCGGCCGGCAUGUUCCUUCCUAGAUGAGUCUCAGGUUCAAAUGAGUCCUGAAUUUUUUAUAAUUAAAAUUUAAAUAACUAGAUUUUAGCAUAAAAAUAUAAAAAAUAGUAGAAAUUAGCUUCUUUUUUUAAGGCCGUCUGAUCUGAGCCAUCCAUUCCUAAAUCGACGAUCAGAUAAAAAAAACGUUACUGUGUUUUUUAAAAUAAAAUAUACUAGAUUUUUUAAUAUCAAAUGUACAAGAUUGAUAAAAAAAGAAUUAGAGUUAAAAUAGAAGAUGAAAAUACUAUUAUAAUCUUAUUUGUAAUUAAGAUAAACUCUAUUUUUUUUUAAAUACACAUUUUUCAAAAUGCACAUAUACACCGUUUUGAAUGAAAAAUGAAAAAACGGUUAUAUAAAUGUCAUUAUAAGAAAUAAAUUCUUGUUUUGGAAGAAAAAAAAUUAAGAUCUCAUGUGUGAUUAAUAUAUACACAGCGAAAUUAAUAACUAUUAAGGUUGUUGAUGAUUCAAGAUUUUAGAAUUUCUGUAUUUACAAAAAAAAAAAUUAAAAUCAGAUAUAUUGAUAUAUAAAGGAAAAAUAAAUAAUACUUACAGACAAGCAAACAAAGAGGGAGUUGGUGUUCGCUCUUGAGCGAACGAGCGAGCAAACGAGAAAUAUUUCUGACAGCGAGCGCGCGAAGUGAGGGACUUUAACCAUGAGAGAGGGAAAAUCUGACCGUGAGCAAACAAGUCUGGUGGGUCCUCCGCGUGCAAGCGUUUUGGGUUCUCAACAUGUUAGCGUUUUGGGUUCUCGAUCAGCGUGCUAGCUUUUUGGGUUCUCAGCGUGCGGUUCGUCUGACAGAGGAGCGAGCACCGUUUUGCUCUGAGCGAGUCUGGUGGGUUCUCCGCGAGCACCAGAGUGUCCGCGAGAGAGCGCCGGAGUGUCCGCGAGCGAGCGCCUAAGCGACCGUGGUUCCACGUCUUUGACUGCGAGCGACAGAUCGGUCUCUUUCCACAAACAUCAGACUCCUCAUACAGCUAGCAGAAGAUGGAAAGAAACCUCGUUAUUGGUUAAUGACCUAUAAGUCGAUGAUUAACAUGUCAUAUUCAUUUCAUACAUCUUAUAUGUUUUUAUUGGAACUUGUAAUUUUUUAUCUUAUAUUUUAUUUACAUCGAAUUUAAAAAAAAAUAUAUAUAUAUACAGCAAAUACCUGCAAUGAAAUCGAGGAUGAGAAAAAACAACCACCAACAAUCACGUGGCGACAACGUCGUAACCUCUUCAGUCUCCACUACCGGUGCCGGUGGAUGGGUGGUCCCCACAAAAACUCGUAGUGCGAGGGCGUGUUCGUGCUUGGAUGUCGCUGUCGUGUGGGCCCCAGAGAAGUGGGAGGAGUAC